RNAcentral lists this ribosomal RNA (253 nucleotides) under uncultured bacterium. Its description in RNAcentral is "partial 16S ribosomal RNA". It matches the Rfam family "Bacterial small subunit ribosomal RNA", at positions 524 to 776 of the family's 1533-position model. The record is from RNAcentral.
UACAGAGGUCCCAAGCGUUGUUCGGAUUCACUGGGCGUAAAGGGUGCGUAGGUGGUGAGGUAAGUCGGAUGUGAAAGCUCGGAGCUCAACUCCGAAACUGCAUUCGAUACUGCCGUGCUUGAGGACUGGAGAGGAGACUGGAAUUUACGGUGUAGCGGUGAAAUGCGUAGAUAUCGUAAGGAAGACCAGUGGCGAAGGCGGGUCUCUGGACAGUUCCUGACGCUGAGGCACGAAGGUCAGGGGAGCAAACGGG